Long non-coding RNA from Phasianus colchicus (ring-necked pheasant), 2058 nucleotides. RefSeq lists it as uncharacterized. Lineage: Eukaryota; Metazoa; Chordata; Aves; Galliformes; Phasianidae. The record is from RefSeq and is a predicted model, not a curated record.
GAGACUUGGCACCUCUGUGUGAUGAAAUCCAAAUACUGGCUGUGGUUACGGAACUGAGCAAAAUACAGAGCAGAUGAAGAGAUGCAGAGCUGUAGCUUGCGGGGCCUCAUUGUUCGGGAACACCGCGUAACAAAAAGAAAAGCCAUGCACUGAGGAGCUGCUGUGUCUGCAAGGGAUCUCUUCAAAACAGAAACCAAACAAAACUGAACAAACCCAACAAUUUACUCUGCAGCCAACAAUGGCCUCUGCCAAAGUCUUGUACCUGGCAGCAUUCGACAGGAUCUCCCUGUGCCCUCCUGCCACCAUGAGAAAAGAGCUUGAGCACACUUUGCUUUCCAGGCUUCGCAUUUACAGAUUCUCCAGCUGGCUCCUGAAGGAGGUUCAUGAACUCUGCUGCACACAGCGAGUCGCUUCUUGCCUACACAUAGUUUUAAUUGUAGUAUUUAGCAAUUGGUUUAGUCUCCUAAUUGCAAAAAGUAUAACAUCUCUGCCAAAAAUAUCAUAAAUGAUGAUAACUCUUGAGUAUUUCUCAUAUCUCUAUCUCAGUAUUUGAAUCUUGGUUAUGCCUUACCCUCCCCUAUUCUUAGGACAGUGUAUUCCUCAUUUUAAUUCUGUGCUUUCCAGAGAAGUACUACAUAAUUUCUUUGGGUAUUGCCUGUGCUUUAUUGCAGUGACAGUAGAAUCCAGGACAGGAUGAAGAAAGGGCCCCAUCUAGGUUUUUCAGAACAUGCAAUACUAUAUAUAUUUCCAUCAAAUCCAGGACUAUCUUUCACUUCUCUAAUGUUAGCAAUUCCAGUCUUUAUGAACUUGCUUGACAGGAGAAGCUGCUUUUUGGCUAAUCCUACUUCUACCCUCACUGAGAUGGCUACUCCUCCCCAUCCUCAUGAAGGAAAUUUACCUUGCUCUUGGCUGCCCCUGACCAGGAGGUUUACUCCAAGAUCUCUGUCUUACCCUCUCUUUCCUCCAAUUGAAAUGGUUGUCAGGACCUUGUCUGGUAUAAGACUGGUUACAUUUUGCUUGUCAAAAAGAUGCUUUUUCUGUUUUACGUUUAGCUUUUAUUCUUGCAUUUUAUGUUUGCCUGACCUCAUAAUCCACCCUGGCCCGCAUGAAGCCCUAAAUAACCUUAUCACCUGUUAGUGUUAGUAUUACAGUAUGUUUGUUAAGCAGUACACUGUUUCAAGUCUCUUGUUGAUGGCUGCUGCACAGAGAAUUUAUUGUUUAAACCCAUCUUUUGUUUUCCAGACUGUUUCUGAUCUUGUUUCCAUUCCUUACCUUUCUCCCCAUGAGUAUGUAAUAAGACUGUAACAUGUAAUGUAAUAUGUAUGUUUAUAUGACUCCUUGAAAAGACAUUGCAGGCUCUGUCGGGGCAGGAGCUCAGUGAGUUUCAGAAGGAAACUUUCUAGUCCCACCGACUGGGUCACCAAUAGGAAGUGUUGUCUUCAGAAGGGAUGGAAAUCCAGCAGUUGCAGUUUCAGACUCGCCCAGCUGUAAGCUGAAAAAUAUCUACAGAAGCUUGCUAAAAAUAUCUGUCAAAAGUUUGAUUUAUGACAAAGUAAAAAUGCUGUUUGAAACAUACUGAACCCCGGUUUUGAAGCCUGUUUGGAAAACUUUUUAACCUGAAGCUGGCUUUACCUGAUGUUUAUCUGCCAUAUUAUAAAAUUAUAGAAUGGCUUGAAUUGGAAUGGACCAAAAAUCAUCCUGUUCUAACCCCCUCACCACUCGUUCUUGCUUCUCUACCACUGCUACUAGAGCCUCUCUUCCAUAUUUUUUUGGUGCAAUGCUGUCUUCAGUGUCAGCACAGACAAAUUUCAAAGUCAGACUCCACUCUUCUCCGUUAUUACUUCUAUUACAAAUAUUUGUGAUUUUUUUGUCCAUUUUAAAAUUUGGGAUAUGCCAUGGCACAAUCUUAUGAGGUUUGUAAUUCUGCAGCCUCAGUAUUUUGUCAUGUGGGUAACAUUAAUCAGGAUCACUUGGUCUUUGAGGCAACAUAACAACCAUCUUCAACCUAAGUAUUUUCAUUAGUUCUUUUCUGUGCAUGAAAGGACUGGAGAGACUGCA